This is a long non-coding RNA of Mytilus californianus (California mussel), 213 nucleotides long. RefSeq lists it as uncharacterized. NCBI's taxonomy places the organism in Eukaryota, Metazoa, Mollusca, Bivalvia, Mytilida, Mytilidae. The record is from RefSeq and is a predicted model, not a curated record. The transcript has 3 exons.
AAUUUCCAAAUACUAAUUAUAAAUAUGACGAGACAGCGUCUAUGCUUUAUAUAGUUUAGGAGCCAUUCGAUCGUAUUCACUAAAUCGAUCUGUCGUCAUUCAAUGUGUGUGCUUUAAAGGUUUACAAGGUUAAAGACAAUUACAGGACAUGAUGUUGAAAUGUGUGGGUGUUUAGUUUGUAGUGACUAUCAUAAUAAUGUUCGUAAGUAGGGU